UAUAAGGUUGUCAUUCUAAGACGGUUUUGUAAAAACUGCCUUAGAAGACUUUUCGCUGUUUUUAAUUAAUAUUUAAUCUGCGACUCCUUGUCUUCCACUCCUCCUUUUUGCUCUCUGAGUCUUAGUCUCCCCCUCUCCCUCUUCGACUCUUCUCUAGGUUUUCCAAAAUGGAGUAGUUGUGCCAACCACUACCACUUCCACCCGACGACGGUGGCGACAGACGCUACUAGUCGACAAAACCAUUUCCGCUAAGGACUAAGACGGCGCGGUGGCGAAGGUAGCCCUUCAGACUUGCUCUUCCUACCUGGUGAUGCUUCUGCUGUCUUCUAGCUUCUUCUUAACUUUUUCUUUCCUUUUUUUUUUUUACUACUUUUAAGCUACCUAGUUUUCAAAAUAGUAAAAACAAAGACAACGUUACUUUCUUCAUUAGCACAAAACCCUUAAGCCGUUAGGCACCUUCAACGCCGCCGUAGUUUGUUAUUGGUUUAAUUUGAUGGAGAUGGAGGGUGAGAAAAAACACAAGUUUGAUGUGGACCUCAGCAACCUCAUGGCUUUCAACUCCUAUGACACCUUCCUUUCUCAACCAUUUCUUUCUAGGUACCUUCUUCUUCUUCUUAUUCUUUUUGUUUUUUGACACUGCCCUUACUCAAGUUAAUUGAACACAAGGAGGACCUCAUUAAGCAGUGUUUACUGAAAGGCACUCACUUGGUUCAAGCUAUCGCAGAUGCCCUCUUUAUCUUACCAUCAACCGAAGAUUUGGAUGGAACCCUUGUCACCUUGCCUCCCUCACUCACUAAAUUGCUCAGAGAAAAACAUAGCUCCAAUAUUUGCUGAAGAGGCAUUGGAAGGCAGGAGGGAGACGGUGAGGCUGUACAGCGUGGACCAAGUUCUGGUGGUGUGCAAAGAAGAUGAUAAGUUACCUUCCUCACCGCGGAAGGCAUUAUUUGAGGGCGUUGGUAAUCAAUGAAAUCUUAGGUUGACCUUUUAGUAGAUGAUUUUAAUUUCAUAUUAAUAGCUCUGUGCCCAUAUGAAAAGAAAUUUUAAACUGAAUUGCUUGUAAACUUUGAAACAACGAUGAAUUUUCUAGUUAGAUUGAUUAAUGUUAUAUAUUGAAAUUUUGACAUGAAUAUUAUUUUGGUUUCCUCUUAUGUUGCAUGAUGUUUCUACUAUGAUCAAUGUGAAGAACAGAGGAUCCCUGAAUAAAAAACAACAUUACAGCUUUAUUAUUCUCCUUCCCUCGUAUGAUAUCAUGUCAGCAUUGGAAAACAAAAUAAUAAUUACCGAAACAAGGAGAGGCCCUGCUCUUUGAAGUUUGAAG
Long non-coding RNA from Glycine soja, 1318 nucleotides. RefSeq lists it as uncharacterized. NCBI's taxonomy places the organism in Eukaryota, Viridiplantae, Streptophyta, Magnoliopsida, Fabales, Fabaceae. The transcript is spliced from 2 exons. The record is from RefSeq and is a predicted model, not a curated record.